ACCCUCUUCCGAUCUACAGGGUUUGAGAUUCGUGUUGAUAAUAGCCUCACCAUAGGACCACCGAAAAAUCAAUGGAACUGGGACCGAGGCAGGAUCCAUUUAUCUUCUUGGGGUGAAGUAGAAGGUGUGAUUUUAAAAGACAAAUUAUACCGAAUGUGUGUAAUUGAUGUGCGUACAGAGCCGUGCAAGGAAGGCCAGCGACGCACAACCGCGCAGUAUCAGGCAUUACUCUCAUCAAGAGUUCCUUGUAACAAAGGCAACCCCAGGGCAGGGUUCAAGUGCUCUGGAGAGCAGUACUGGGAAAGGAGUUCUAGAAUGCGUUGCAUUA
This is a non-coding RNA of Vicugna pacos (alpaca), 328 nucleotides long. The record is from RefSeq and is a predicted model, not a curated record. NCBI's taxonomy places the organism in Eukaryota, Metazoa, Chordata, Mammalia, Artiodactyla, Camelidae.